GAUGAACGCUGGCUACAGGCUUAACACAUGCAAGUCGAGGGGAAACGACGGGGAAGCUUGCUUCCCCGGGCGUCGACCGGCGCACGGGUGAGUAACGCGUAUCCAACCUGCCUCUGACUGAGGGAUAACCCGUCGAAAGUCGGCCUAAUACCUCAUGGCAUCGUCUGCGGGCAUCCAACGACGAUUAAAGAUUUCAUCGGUCAGAGAUGGGGAUGCGUCUGAUUAGCUUGUUGGCGGGGUAACGGCCCACCAAGGCGACGAUCAGUAGGGGUUCUGAGAGGAAGGUCCCCCACAUUGGAACGGAGACACGGUCCAAACUCGUACGGGAGGCAGCAGUGAGGAAUAUUGGUCAAUGGGCGAGAGCCUGAACCAGCCAAGUAGCGUGCAGGAUGACGGCCCUAUGGGUUGUAAACUGCUUUUAUGCGGGGAUAAAGUGAGGGACGUGUCCUUCAUUGCAGGUACCGCAUGAAUAAGGACCGGCUAAUUCCGUG
This 491-nucleotide ribosomal RNA is filed under the name uncultured bacterium. RNAcentral's name for it is "partial 16S ribosomal RNA". It matches the Rfam family "Bacterial small subunit ribosomal RNA", at positions 28 to 507 of the family's 1533-position model. The record is from RNAcentral.